This 584-nucleotide ribosomal RNA is filed under the name uncultured bacterium. Its description in RNAcentral is "bacterial SSU rRNA". It matches the Rfam family "Bacterial small subunit ribosomal RNA", at positions 51 to 682 of the family's 1533-position model. The record is from RNAcentral.
ACACAUGCAAGUCGAACGAACCUUCGGGUUAGUGGCGGACGGGUGAGUAACGCGUGAGAAUCUGCCCUCAGGAGGGGGACAACAGCUGGAAACGGCUGCUAAUACCCCAUAUGCCGCGAGGUGAAACGAAAUUCGCCUGAGGAUGAGCUCGCGUCUGAUUAGCUAGUUGGUGGGGUAAGAGCCUACCAAGGCAUCGAUCAGUAGCUGGUCUGAGAGGAUGAUCAGCCACACUGGGACUGAGACACGGCCCAGACUCCUACGGGAGGCAGCAGUGGGGAAUUUUCCGCAAUGGGCGAAAGCCUGACGGAGCAACGCCGCGUGAGGGAUGAAGGCCUCUGGGCUGUAAACCUCUUUUCUCAAGGAAGAAGAUCUGACGGUACUUGAGGAAUAAGCCACGGCUAAUUCCGUGCCAGCAGCCGCGGUAAUACGGGAGUGGCAAGCGUUAUCCGGAAUUAUUGGGCGUAAAGCGUCCGCAGGCGGCCCUUCAGGUCUGCUGUUAAAAAGUGGAGCUUAACUCCAUCGUGGCACUGGAAACUGUUGGGCUAGAGUGUGGUAGGGGCAGAGGGAAUUCACGGUGUAGCGGU